Molecule: ribosomal RNA, 413 nt
Filed under: uncultured bacterium
Lineage: Bacteria
Description: partial 16S ribosomal RNA
Rfam family: Bacterial small subunit ribosomal RNA
Source: RNAcentral
UGGGGAAUAUUGCACAAUGGGCGCAAGCCUGAUGCAGCCAUGCCGCGUGUGUGAAGAAGGCCUUCGGGUUGUAAAGCACUUUCAGCGAGGAGGAAGGGUUCAGUGUUAAUAGCACUGUUCAUUGACGUUACUCGCAUGAAGAAGCACCGGCUAACUCCGUGCCAGCAGCCGCGGUAAUACGGAGGGUGCAAGCGUUAAUCGGAAUUACUGGGCGUAAAGCGCACGCAGGCGGUUUGUUAAGUCAGAUGUGAAAUCCCCGCGCUUAACGUGGGAACUGCGUUUGAAACUGGCAAGCUAGAGUCUUGUAGAGGGGGGUAGAAUUCCAGGUGUAGCGGUGAAAUGCGUAGAGAUCUGGAGGAAUACCGGUGGCGAAGGCGGCCCCCUGGACAAAGACUGACGCUCAGGUGCGAAAA